CAUUUCUUUUCCAUCGAGACGUUGGCCGAGAAGGUUACUCUAGUCAUCAUUGCUGGGUGCUUUCUUUCCUGACUUAGUUCUUUCAUAAAUAAAGGUUGGUGGAGAUAUUUCUCAACAUGCAGUGCCAAGUCAACAAGAUGCCUCUGAUGUAUCAUGUUGCAAGAUGAAAAUGGAGGAAAAAGAAAAUCUGAAACGAUUCCUUGGUAAAUUUGGUGGUGAUGUCUGGUGUGCAGUGGUGUGUCAGUCAUUUUCUGAUUGAGAAAUGCACUUAUAUGGAGCAUCUGCAGAUUUGCUGUUCAACAUCAGACUUCAAAAAACCAUGUUGGUGUCGAUGCAGUGUUGAGCUGUUAAAAAGUAGUUGGUGUUUGAUGGCUUUCUGGCAUUUUGUUGGUGUGUUCUACUUCUGCUAGCUGUAUCCAUGUUGAGUUCAAUCGGACGUCGCCGUAUCAGACUUGAUCCGCUGGUGAAGCUGAGGAGAAGUUGUUGUUAUUCAAGACUGAUAGAUUAUUCAGACAAAUUAAAAAUGCAAAACUUUUGUCCCUUUUCCCUAAGUAAACAAAAUGUCCUCAGUUGGCUAGUUGUGUGAAAACCAAAAAUGUUAUGAUGGAAUGAGCAAUGAAAUUUGAUAUUUUCUAUGAGAAAGAAAAGUUAAACCAUUAA
Molecule: long non-coding RNA, 660 nt
Organism: Daphnia pulex (common water flea)
Lineage: Eukaryota; Metazoa; Arthropoda; Branchiopoda; Diplostraca; Daphniidae
Exons: 4
Source: RefSeq, a predicted model, not a curated record